This is a long non-coding RNA of Cervus elaphus (red deer), 1223 nucleotides long. RefSeq lists it as uncharacterized. NCBI's taxonomy places the organism in Eukaryota, Metazoa, Chordata, Mammalia, Artiodactyla, Cervidae. The transcript is spliced from 5 exons. The record is from RefSeq and is a predicted model, not a curated record.
GUUAGUGCCAGUCAGGGCCUCUCAGUUCUGAAUGCCACUCUCAGGAUGUGUUUAGGUUUGCAGGCUCUGGAGACGUGGGCUACAGUCUAUGGAGUCGCAAAGAAUCGGACACGGCUUAGAAACAAAACAACAGCAAGCAUUGGAGGGCCGGCCUGGAGGUGUCAGGCCUCUUCUUGGCUUCAAGAGGAUUCUCAUUUGCCUUUCUCUUGGGGAAAAUCUUCCCUCUGGGACCCUGGAUGGCCUGACCUCCCAAUUAUAGGAGCCUCAUGCAUCAAGUACCUGUUGGAGGCCAGGCACUUGACAUACAGCAUCAUGUUCAAUUCUCACAGUGUGUUUUCAACUGACAGUGCCCUUUCCUGGUCACGUGGGAGCCUUGUGACUCCUGACAGGGGCGUGGAAUGAGGUGACCCCAUCUUUUUACAGGUAGCUCUUAGCUGGACCCCUUCCUUCUCCCUUUCUCACCACCUCGCCCUCCUCCCACCCAUCAUCCUCUCUGAGGACUGAGAGAUGCUGCCCUGAGCAAGGAACUGAGCCCCUGACCUGCCAUGGAUACAGGCCACCAUGUGCCCUACCCAUCUUUGCUAUGGCUGCUAGGCGCCUGGUGGGCAGAAGCUUGUGGGAUUUUAGUUCUUCAACCAGGGAUGGAACCCCGGAUCCUCAGCAGUGAGAGCGUGGAGUCCUAACCACUGGACUGCCCAGGAAUUCCCAAGAGCAUGCUUUUUAUAUGAAAGCAAACUUGGACAUAAUAUAGAGUAAAACGUGCAUGUACAUAUGUACCGAUCUAUUACAAGUAAACCAGAGGCCAGAAAUCAAAGUGUUUAUGAGUGAGUUGUUCUGAAUGGCCUUCCCACUGGCCGGUGGACCCUGCUCUUACAGAUCCCCCACAGGGAACUUUGAGAAAUACUGUUUGCCCAUAACCACCAUAUUUCCUCUCUGUCAUUUGUGAUAGGGCCCACUUCAGAAUGGGGGCAAGUCAGUUACAGUGAGGAAGGACUGUCUAGAGAGGACCAGAGCCCAGGCAAAGGGCAUAGGUCCCACCUGAGGUGACAAGCUGGCAGAACCAUCCCAGGACAGGAUCUGAAAGGCGGGAGUGUUGGUUUCUAGGCAAAGGUGUUUGGAGCUCACUUCCUGGGGGCGGCAGAAGAGGAUGAGUGUGUGUCCACAGGGGCUGGGAGGUGGCAGGUUUCAGCAAGAGGAGGCCUGAGCCACCGGCCCAGGCUGGU